UGAGGAACAUGACCUUCGGCGGGGGAUAGCCGGCCCAACGGCCGGGUAAUACCGCGUACGACCACUCGGGGACAUCCCUAGGUGGUGAAAGCAGCAAUGCGCCGAUGGAGUGCCUCGCGGCCUAUCAGCUAGUUGGUGAGGUAACGGCUCACCAAGGCGACGACGGGUAGCUGGU
RNAcentral lists this ribosomal RNA (175 nucleotides) under uncultured bacterium. RNAcentral's name for it is "partial 16S ribosomal RNA". It matches the Rfam family "Bacterial small subunit ribosomal RNA", at positions 118 to 291 of the family's 1533-position model. The record is from RNAcentral.